UAGGGAAUCUUCCGCAAUGGACGAAAGUCUGACGGAGCAACGCCGCGUGAGUGAAGAAGGAUUUCGGUUCGUAAAACUCUGUUGUUAGGGAAGAAAAAAUGUAUAGUAACUAUAUACAAAAGAGACGGUACCUAACCAGAAAGCCACGGCUAACUACGUGCCAGCAGCCGCGGUAAUACGUAGGUGGCAAGCGUUGUCCGGAAUUAUUGGGCGUAAAGCGCGCGCAGGUGGUUUAGAAAGUCUGAUGUGAAAGCCCACGGCUCAACCGUGGAGGGUCAUUGGAAACUAAUAAACUUGAGUGCAGGAGAGAAAAGUGGAAUUCCUAGUGCAGCGGUGAAAUGCGUAGAGAUUAGGAGGAACACCGGUGGCGAAAGCGGCUUUUUGGCCUGCAACUGACACUGAGGCGCGAAAGCGUGGGGAGCAAACAGG
RNAcentral lists this ribosomal RNA (429 nucleotides) under Verrucomicrobiota bacterium. RNAcentral's name for it is "Verrucomicrobia bacterium partial 16S ribosomal RNA". It matches the Rfam family "Bacterial small subunit ribosomal RNA", at positions 355 to 776 of the family's 1533-position model. The record is from RNAcentral. Lineage: Bacteria; Pseudomonadati; Verrucomicrobiota.